ACAUAGGGGGCAAGCGUUAUCCGGAUUUAUUGGGCGUAAAGCGUGCGUAGGCGGUUUAUUAGGUCAGGCGUAAAAGAUCACAGCUCAACUGUGUAGGGCGUUUGAAACCGGUAGACUUGAAUACGGUAGGGGCAGGUGGAAUUCCAUGUGUAGCGGUGGAAUGCGUAGAUAUAUGGAGGAACACCAAUGGCGAAGGCAGCCUGCUGGGCCGGAAUUGACGCUGAGGCACGAAAGCGUGGGGAGCAAACAG
This 250-nucleotide ribosomal RNA is filed under the name uncultured prokaryote. RNAcentral describes it as "partial 16S rRNA". It matches the Rfam family "Bacterial small subunit ribosomal RNA", at positions 525 to 775 of the family's 1533-position model. The record is from RNAcentral.